GGGUCUGUAGCUCAGCUGGGAGAGCGUUCGGUUCGCAUCCGAGAGGCCGUGAGUUCGAGUCUCAUCAGAUCCACCA
This 76-nucleotide transfer RNA is filed under the name Oscillospiraceae bacterium. Its description in RNAcentral is "tRNA-Ala". It matches the Rfam family "tRNA". From Rfam's summary of the family: Transfer RNA (tRNA) molecules are approximately 80 nucleotides in length. Their secondary structure includes four short double-helical elements and three loops (D, anti-codon, and T loops). Further hydrogen bonds mediate the characteristic L-shaped molecular structure. tRNAs have two regions of fundamental functional importance: the anti-codon, which is responsible for specific mRNA codon recognition, and the 3' end, to which the tRNAs corresponding amino acid is attached (by aminoacyl-tRNA synthetases). tRNAs cope with the degeneracy of the genetic code in two manners: having more than one tRNA (with a specific anti-codon) for a particular amino acid; and 'wobble' base-pairing, i.e. permitting non-standard base-pairing at the 3rd anti-codon position. Lineage: Bacteria; Bacillati; Bacillota; Clostridia; Eubacteriales; Oscillospiraceae. The record is from RNAcentral.